UACGGGGGGGGCAAGCGUUGUUCGGAAUUACUGGGCGUAAAGGGCUCGUAGGUGGCCAACUAAGUCAGACGUGAAAUCCCUCGGCUUAACCGGGGAACUGCGUCUGAUACUGGAUGGCUUGAGUUUGGGAGAGGGACGCGGAAUUCCAGGUGUAGCGGUGAAAUGCGUAGAUAUCUGGAGGAACACCGGUGGCGAAGGCGGCGUCCUGGACCAACACUGACGUUCAGGCACGAAAGCGUGGGGAGCAAACAGG
This 253-nucleotide ribosomal RNA is filed under the name uncultured bacterium. RNAcentral describes it as "partial 16S ribosomal RNA". It matches the Rfam family "Bacterial small subunit ribosomal RNA", at positions 524 to 776 of the family's 1533-position model. The record is from RNAcentral.